RNAcentral lists this transfer RNA (88 nucleotides) under Nannocystis exedens. Its description in RNAcentral is "tRNA-Arg". The record is from RNAcentral. Lineage: Bacteria; Pseudomonadati; Myxococcota; Nannocystales; Nannocystaceae.
GCGCGGCGGGCCGUGGUCCUCGGGCCCAAGAACUUCUGCUUCCUGUUCGACGCCGACGGCAACCCGCGGAUCGUCCGUGGCCCCGCGC